UAAGUUAAUAUCUUUAUCGCAUUAAUUAUAAUUAUAUUAAUGAGGAAAGUCUGGACACUAAAGAGAAAUACAAUGGAUAACAUCCAUACAUCGUAAGAUGAUGAAUAGUACAACAGAAAGUAUGUAUAAAAUUAAAUUAAUAAAUUUAAUUUUAAUAGUGAAAUCUUGUAAACUCUGUAUAGUGAAAUGUCAAAUUACCAUAAACUUUCUCGGUUAUUUUAAAUAUGGUUGGUAGACAGAUAGAUAUAUAUGGUAACAUAUAUACUAGAUAAAUGAUAAAGAAUAUUUUAUAAAUAUUACAGAAUCCGGCUUAUAUAUUAACUUAUUUU
RNAcentral lists this RNase P RNA (329 nucleotides) under Candidatus Shikimatogenerans bostrichidophilus. RNAcentral describes it as "RNase P RNA component class A". It matches the Rfam family "Bacterial RNase P class A". Rfam says of the family: Ribonuclease P (RNase P) is a ubiquitous endoribonuclease, found in archaea, bacteria and eukarya as well as chloroplasts and mitochondria. Its best characterised activity is the generation of mature 5'-ends of tRNAs by cleaving the 5'-leader elements of precursor-tRNAs. The record is from RNAcentral. Lineage: Bacteria; Pseudomonadati; Bacteroidota; Flavobacteriia; Flavobacteriales.